GUUCGGAUUGUAGGCUGAAACUCGCCUACAUGAAGCUGGAGUUACUAGUAAUCGCAGAUCAGAAUGCUGCGGUGAAUACGUUCCCGGGUCUUGUACACACCGCCCGUCACACCAUGGGAGUCGGAAAUGCCCGAAGCCGGUGACCAAACCAAUAAGGAAGGAGCCGUCGAAGGCAGGUCUGAUAACUGGGGUGAAGUCGUAACAAGGUACC
Molecule: ribosomal RNA, 211 nt
Filed under: uncultured bacterium
Lineage: Bacteria
Description: partial 16S ribosomal RNA
Rfam family: Bacterial small subunit ribosomal RNA
Source: RNAcentral